Molecule: non-coding RNA, 29 nt
Filed under: Mus musculus (house mouse)
Lineage: Eukaryota; Metazoa; Chordata; Mammalia; Rodentia; Muridae
Source: RNAcentral
UACAGAUCCCUCCUCUGCAAAUAUGUUGC